UACGUAGGGUGCGAGCGUUAAUCGGAAUUACUGGGCGUAAAGCGUGCGUAGGUGGUUUGUUAAGUCUGUCGUGAAAUCCCCGGGCUCAACCUGGGAAUGGCGAUGGAUACUGGCAAGCUAGAGUGAGGUAGAGGAGAGUGGAAUUCCCGGUGUAGCAGUGAAAUGCGUAGAGAUCGGGAGGAACAUCAGUUGCGAAGGCGGCUCUCUGGACCAUCACUGACACUGAGGCACGAAAGCGUGGGGAGCAAACAGG
Molecule: ribosomal RNA, 253 nt
Filed under: uncultured bacterium
Lineage: Bacteria
Description: partial 16S ribosomal RNA
Rfam family: Bacterial small subunit ribosomal RNA
Source: RNAcentral